Long non-coding RNA from Balaenoptera acutorostrata (minke whale), 1731 nucleotides. RefSeq lists it as uncharacterized. The transcript is spliced from 7 exons. Lineage: Eukaryota; Metazoa; Chordata; Mammalia; Artiodactyla; Balaenopteridae. The record is from RefSeq and is a predicted model, not a curated record.
ACCUGUGUCCCCUGCGUUGGCAGGUGGAUUCUUAACCACUGUGCCACCAGGGAAGUCCCUAAUUUUUUUUUUUUUUUUUUUUACAGUAGGUACUUGUUGGUUAUCUAUUUUAAAUAUAGCAGUGUGUACAUGUCAAUCCCAACUCCCAUAGUGAAACUGAGUAUUUUUUCAUGUGGCCAUUUUAACAUCUUCUUUGCAAAUUUCCUGUUAAUGUUUUUGAAAACCCACAUAUUUGGGGGGCCAAUAUACGUACCCCUCUCUACUUCAUGGACUAUUGUAAGAAUUAGUUGAAAUAACCUAUCUGAAUAUGUUUGAAACUGACACAGCAAUACACAAAUGUGUUGACCACGUUUAUGACCUGUAGGGUGAGGGUCAGGAGGAAUGGCCAUCUGGAGACAAACGGGCUGAGUCAGUGGUACCCAUUGAAGGCUUGGGCAGCUCUGCCUGAUGACGUAUGGGGAGAGGCACCUGUGAGAAAGGGAAAGGGGCCUUGACCUAGAGACUUGUUACUGAGAGAAGGCCACCGGAAAUAGACAAGGUCAGUGGCAGUACAGGGGCUGGCAGCUCGAAAUGUUGUUUCAGUUGUUACAACUAGUAUAUUGUACUUCUCUAAUUUGAAAAUGAUCCGAUAAAGAAAAAAACAAUUAAGACACUCUACCCUGCAGCAGGGUUGGCAAUUCAUGAGGCGACAGGAGCUGAGUCCUGGGCUGUCAUGGGUUCCUGUGCUGACUUGGACAGAGCAGCCCCAGGGAGCCCCUGAGAGUCAUACCUGGACCCUGCAGGACGCCGAGCUCACGGCCAUCUCGCACUCAGAUGACGGGGAAGCCGUGCCUCCUUGGCAAGCAGGACCCUGUGAACAGGCCUUCUGUGGAUGGGAUGGUGCCCACUGCAGUGGUGAGGGUGAUCUUCUUUACUCCAUCCACCCAUCCAAAUGCUGAUCUCCUCCAGAAAUGCCCUCACAGACAUGCCCAGAAAUAAUGUUUCACCAGCUACCUAGGCAUUCCUUAGCCCAGUCGAGCUGACAUGUAAAAUCAACCAUCACAAAUAACAGCAUUUGAAGGGUAAAAGCCCCAUGUCUCCUCGGCCAGUGGGUGUUUAUCAGAGGACAGUGGAAAAGAGGGACAAAAAUGCCUGGAUAUAACAUUAAGAGUUGGCAGGACCCGACCUCUAAAAGGAAGUGUUAAAACAAUGUUUUUGACAUCAAGGCUUUUCUCAAAGUUGAUAAAGGAGAGCUUGUGGAAAAGCUCAUGUGCUGUCUCUUCAGUGGAGAGUUCAAUCCAGGAAUAAGAUGUGAUUAAGGAUCUUGAGAUGGAGGGUUACCUUGGAUUAUCUGGGCAAAGCACUGCCCGUUUCUUCAACUCUGGAGCUGUGGAGGAGUAUUUUUUUGGGACUGGAGGCCACACCCAUCCCUUCUCUGGGCGUGUUAUCUCCCUCUGUCUCAUGGGGAAACUCACACCAUGCACUGGAGCUUCAGCAGGAAGCACUGAUUUGGCUUCUGUUCCUGGUCCAAUCCAAGUCCCAGCAUCGUCGGCGAGAGGAAGAGCCGUUGCCAUGGACUAAAAGGCCAGUGUGCACGGGCAUCCCCUCCACCACCUCUCACGGACGGAGCGGCCCCGCAAGGCAGACGUCACAGCCUUCAGUUUGCAGCGGCCACAGAUAUUCACUGAGGGCCUCUCCUGCCAUUGGCUCUGCUUGGAUGGUGAGAAAACACAGUCCCUGCCCUCGUGGUGC